Molecule: ribosomal RNA, 514 nt
Filed under: uncultured bacterium
Lineage: Bacteria
Description: partial 16S ribosomal RNA
Rfam family: Bacterial small subunit ribosomal RNA
Source: RNAcentral
GACGAACGCUGGCGGCGUGCCUAACACAUGCAAGUCGAACGGAGAAUCAGCAAUGGUUCUUAGUGGCGAACGGGUGAGUAACGCGUAGACAACCUGCCUUCUAGAUGGGGACAACACUGCGAAAGUGGUUCUAAUACCGAAUGUUGUAAUAAGCCUGCAUGGGCUUGAUACUAAAGGUGGCCUCUAUUUAUAAGCUACCACUAGAAGAUGGUUCUGGGUCUGAUUAGCUAGUUGGUGAGGUAAUGGCUCACCAAGGCGAUGAUCAGUAGCCGGUCUGAGAGGAUGAACGGCCACACUGGGACUGAGACACGGCCCAGACUCCUAAGGGAGGCAGCAGUGGGGAAUCUUCCGCAAUGGACGAAAGUCUGACGGAGCAACGCCGCGUGAGUGAAGAAGGUUUUCGGAUCGUAAAGCUCUGUCUUUGAGGACGAAUGUGUUUAAUGUGAAUAAUGCUAAAUAAUGACGGUACUCGAGGAGGAAGCCACGGCUAACUACGUGCCAGCCGCCGCAGUAA